Molecule: small RNA, 108 nt
Filed under: Cebus imitator (Panamanian white-faced capuchin)
Lineage: Eukaryota; Metazoa; Chordata; Mammalia; Primates; Cebidae
Description: Y RNA (ENSCCAG00000007979.1)
Source: RNAcentral
AACUUGUCUUCAGAGAAUUCGGUUACUUGUUCAAAAUGCUCAGAAGCAACAGAUAGAACUUGCUCUACUCUUUCCCCCCUUCUCACUCCUGCACUUGACUAGUCUUUU